This 253-nucleotide unclassified non-coding RNA is filed under the name uncultured Planctomycetota bacterium. RNAcentral's name for it is "uncultured planctomycete contains 16S-23S intergenic spacer region". It matches the Rfam family "Bacterial small subunit ribosomal RNA", at positions 524 to 776 of the family's 1533-position model. The record is from RNAcentral. Lineage: Bacteria; Pseudomonadati; Planctomycetota.
UACGGAGGGUGCAAACGUUGUUCGGAUUCACUGGGCGUAAAGGGUCCGUAGGCGGCUCGGUAACUCGGUUGUGGAAUCCCAGCGCUUACCGCUGGAAUUGCGGCCGAAAGUAUCGGGCUAGAGUCCGUCAGGGGCGGGUGGAACUCCCGGUGGAGCGGUGAAAUGCGUAGAUAUCGGGAGGAACGCCGGAGGCGAAAGCGACCCGCUGGGGCGGCACUGACGCUGAGGGACGAAAGCUAGGGGAGCAAACAGG